GUUUUUAUAGUUUAAAAUAAAACUUAAAUUUUGUAAAUUUAAAAUUCUUCUUUUGAAGAUGGAAGCA
This 67-nucleotide transfer RNA is filed under the name Ciona savignyi (Pacific transparent sea squirt). Its description in RNAcentral is "tRNA (ENSCSAVG00000012490.1)". The record is from RNAcentral. Lineage: Eukaryota; Metazoa; Chordata; Ascidiacea; Phlebobranchia; Cionidae.